RNAcentral lists this transfer RNA (76 nucleotides) under Staphylococcus aureus LysK 2 2011. RNAcentral describes it as "tRNA-Asp". The stretch from base 3 to 70 matches the Rfam family "tRNA". From Rfam's summary of the family: Transfer RNA (tRNA) molecules are approximately 80 nucleotides in length. Their secondary structure includes four short double-helical elements and three loops (D, anti-codon, and T loops). The record is from RNAcentral. Lineage: Bacteria; Bacillati; Bacillota; Bacilli; Caryophanales; Staphylococcaceae.
UUUCUCGUAGUGUAGCGGUUAACACGCCUGCCUGUCACGCAGGAGAUCGCGGGUUCGAUUCCCGUCGAGACCGCCA